CAUGGCUGUGGGCAUUUCAGAUUUGCAGAAAGUAAUGUUUAGAGUAAUUGAAGCCAAGUCAGAAGAUUUUUUGCCUAUUAUAAGUGGAAGGCGUGAACAUUACAUUAUAGAGGUCCAGCUCCCAGCAAAGAUGUUUGAGCUGCUGCCACAAGAGAUUAAAGAGGGAAAGCUGCUUCGCAUGUAUCCAGUGCUCUUUAAUGUUGGAAUCAAUGAGCAGCAAACACUGGCAGAGAGGUUUGGAGAUACCACUUUGCAGGAAAACAUUAACCAGGAAAACUUAG
Melozone crissalis (California towhee) is the source of this 281-nucleotide long non-coding RNA. RefSeq lists it as uncharacterized. NCBI's taxonomy places the organism in Eukaryota, Metazoa, Chordata, Aves, Passeriformes, Passerellidae. The transcript has 3 exons. The record is from RefSeq and is a predicted model, not a curated record.